This 314-nucleotide ribosomal RNA is filed under the name Haemophilus influenzae. RNAcentral describes it as "bacterial LSU rRNA". It matches the Rfam family "Bacterial large subunit ribosomal RNA", at positions 1085 to 1398 of the family's 2925-position model. The record is from RNAcentral. Lineage: Bacteria; Pseudomonadati; Pseudomonadota; Gammaproteobacteria; Pasteurellales; Pasteurellaceae.
UUAGACAGCUAGGAUGUUGGCUUAGAAGCAGCCAUCAUUUAAAGAAAGCGUAAUAGCUCACUAGUCGAGUCGGCCUGCGCGGAAGAUGUAACGGGGCUGAAAUAUAGCACCGAAGCUGCGGCAUCAGAAUUUAUUCUGUUGGGUAGGGGAGCGUUGUGUAAGCGGAUGAAGGUGGCUUGAGAGGGUUGCUGGACGUAUCACAAGUGCGAAUGCUGACAUAAGUAACGAUAAAACGGGUGAAAAACCCGUUCGCCGGAAGACCAAGGGUUCCUGUCCAACGUUAAUCGGGGCAGGGUGAGUCGGCUCCUAAGGCG